RNAcentral lists this ribosomal RNA (207 nucleotides) under uncultured bacterium. RNAcentral's name for it is "partial 16S ribosomal RNA". It matches the Rfam family "Bacterial small subunit ribosomal RNA", at positions 568 to 774 of the family's 1533-position model. The record is from RNAcentral.
CGCGUAGGCGGCCGUGUAAGUCAGAUGUGAAAUUCCAGGGCUCAACCCUGGAGCUGCAUUUGAAACUGCACAGAUAGAGGAUAGGAGGAGAAAACGGAAUUCCACAAGUAGCGGUGAAAUGCGUAGAUAUGUGGAAGAACACCGGUGGCGAAGGCGGUUUUCUAUCUUAUUCCUGACGCUGAGGCGCGAAAGCAAGGGGAUCAAACA